CUACGGUGAAUACGUUCCCGGACCUUGCACACACCGCCCGUCAAGCCAUGGAAGCCGGGUGUACCUAAAGCGGUAACCGUAAGGAGCCGCCUAGGGUAAAACUGGUGACUGGGGCU
RNAcentral lists this ribosomal RNA (116 nucleotides) under uncultured bacterium. RNAcentral's name for it is "partial 16S ribosomal RNA". It matches the Rfam family "Bacterial small subunit ribosomal RNA", at positions 1357 to 1482 of the family's 1533-position model. The record is from RNAcentral.